AAUAAGUGCAGCCGUGGAUAUCCGUGCCCAACGUUUGACCAUCUGUCUUAUUUGAAAAUUUUAUAAAAAAUUUAAAAAUAUUUAGUCACACAUAAAGUAUUAUUCAUGUUUUAUCAUCUAAUAACAAUAAAAAUACUAAUCAUAAACAAUUUUAAAUAAGACGAACGGUCAAACGUUGAACAUAAAUAGUGCAAAACUGCAUUUAUU
Molecule: microRNA precursor, 207 nt
Filed under: Oryza glumipatula
Lineage: Eukaryota; Viridiplantae; Streptophyta; Magnoliopsida; Poales; Poaceae
Description: MIR812 microRNA precursor family
Rfam family: MIR812 microRNA precursor family
Source: Rfam by way of RNAcentral